GGUGGCUCAGUGGUAAAGCGCUUGCCUUGCAUGCAUGAGGUCCUGGGUUCCAUUCCUCAGCACCA
This 65-nucleotide transfer RNA is filed under the name Dipodomys ordii (Ord's kangaroo rat). It matches the Rfam family "tRNA". From Rfam's summary of the family: Transfer RNA (tRNA) molecules are approximately 80 nucleotides in length. Their secondary structure includes four short double-helical elements and three loops (D, anti-codon, and T loops). Further hydrogen bonds mediate the characteristic L-shaped molecular structure. tRNAs have two regions of fundamental functional importance: the anti-codon, which is responsible for specific mRNA codon recognition, and the 3' end, to which the tRNAs corresponding amino acid is attached (by aminoacyl-tRNA synthetases). tRNAs cope with the degeneracy of the genetic code in two manners: having more than one tRNA (with a specific anti-codon) for a particular amino acid; and 'wobble' base-pairing, i.e. permitting non-standard base-pairing at the 3rd anti-codon position. Lineage: Eukaryota; Metazoa; Chordata; Mammalia; Rodentia; Heteromyidae. The record is from Rfam by way of RNAcentral.